RNAcentral lists this ribosomal RNA (253 nucleotides) under uncultured bacterium. RNAcentral describes it as "partial 16S ribosomal RNA". It matches the Rfam family "Bacterial small subunit ribosomal RNA", at positions 524 to 776 of the family's 1533-position model. The record is from RNAcentral.
UACGGAGGGUGCAAGCGUUAUCCGGAUUCACUGGGUUUAAAGGGUGCGUAGGCGGGUUGGUAAGUCAGUGGUGAAAUCUUCAAGCUUAACUUGGAAACUGCCGUUGAUACUAUCAAUCUUGAAUGUUGUGGAGGUAAGCGGAAUAUGUCAUGUAGCGGUGAAAUGCUUAGAUAUGACAUAGAACACCAAUUGCGAAGGCAGCUGGCUACAGGUGGAUUGACACUGAGGCACGAAAGCGUGGGGAUCAAACAGG